AAUAGAUACCCGGGUAGUCCUUGCCGUAAACUAUGUAUACUUGGUGUAACUGGACUCAACCCUAGUUGUGCCGUAGCUAACGCGAUAAGUAUACCGCCUGAGGAGUACGCUCGCAAGGGUGAAACUCAAAAGAAUUGACGGGGACCCGCACAAGCAGUGGAGCAUGUGGUUUAACUCGAUGCAACGCGAAGAACCUUACCCAGACUUGACAUGCAGUAGACAGUACUAGAAAUAGUAUCUUCCUUUGGGACUGCUGCACAGGUGCUGCAUGGCUGUCGUCAGCUCGUGCCGUGAGGUGUUGGGUUAAGUCCCGCAACGAGCGCAACCCUUAUCAUUAGUUGCCAACAUUUUAGGUGGGAACUCUAAUGAGACUGCCUGGGGUUAACCAGGAGGAAGGUGAGGAUGACGUCAAGUCCGCAUGGCCCUUAUGUCUGGGGCUACACACGUGCUACAAUGGUCGGUACAGAAGGCAGCGAAGCCGCGAGGUGAAGCAAAUCCAAAAAGCCGAUCCCAG
This 514-nucleotide ribosomal RNA is filed under the name uncultured bacterium. Its description in RNAcentral is "bacterial SSU rRNA". It matches the Rfam family "Bacterial small subunit ribosomal RNA", at positions 777 to 1291 of the family's 1533-position model. The record is from RNAcentral.